Long non-coding RNA from Nematolebias whitei (Rio pearlfish), 370 nucleotides. RefSeq lists it as uncharacterized. The transcript is spliced from 4 exons. The record is from RefSeq and is a predicted model, not a curated record. Lineage: Eukaryota; Metazoa; Chordata; Actinopteri; Cyprinodontiformes; Rivulidae.
GUCAGCAUCAUCUUCAUCCUCACUGUGAUCAGUGGAAAACUCAUUGUCCUCUGAUGAACAACUCUGAUUCAUCUGAGGAGAGGACAAACCUGUCUGCAUUCAGUGGAGAGGUAGUGGACGACUCAUCGGUUGGAGCCCACAGUUCAGAGCUAAAACCACCACUUCGUCGGACACCCAGCCUGAUAAAAACCGAUUCACCAACUGUUACAAGAAAGAAGUCGGGUGUUCCCCCAAAACCUCCACAUCUGGAAAAAACUCAGGGAAAAUCAACAGAAGUUUAACCCCAGACUCACAGAAGAAGAGAAGAGAUCAGGGAGCUGCUGCAGACGCCAAACUGAAAUGAAGACUGAAGAAUUACAUGAAUGAAACA